Molecule: ribosomal RNA, 656 nt
Filed under: Lactococcus lactis
Lineage: Bacteria; Bacillati; Bacillota; Bacilli; Lactobacillales; Streptococcaceae
Description: bacterial SSU rRNA
Rfam family: Bacterial small subunit ribosomal RNA
Source: RNAcentral
UGCAAGUUGAGCGCUGAAGGUUGGUACUUGUACCAACUGGAUGAGCAGCGAACGGGUGAGUAACGCGUGGGGAAUCUGCCUUUGAGCGGGGGACAACAUUUGGAAACGAAUGCUAAUACCGCAUAAAAACUUUAAACACAAGUUUUAAGUUUGAAAGAUGCAAUUGCAUCACUCAAAGAUGAUCCCGCGUUGUAUUAGCUAGUUGGUGAGGUAAAGGCUCACCAAGGCGAUGAUACAUAGCCGACCUGAGAGGGUGAUCGGCCACAUUGGGACUGAGACACGGCCCAAACUCCUACGGGAGGCAGCAGUAGGGAAUCUUCGGCAAUGGACGAAAGUCUGACCGAGCAACGCCGCGUGAGUGAAGAAGGUUUUCGGAUCGUAAAACUCUGUUGGUAGAGAAGAACGUUGGUGAGAGUGGAAAGCUCAUCAAGUGACGGUAACUACCCAGAAAGGGACGGCUAACUACGUGCCAGCAGCCGCGGUAAUACGUAGGUCCCGAGCGUUGUCCGGAUUUAUUGGGCGUAAAGCGAGCGCAGGUGGUUUAUUAAGUCUGGUGUAAAAGGCAGUGGCUCAACCAUUGUAUGCAUUGGAAACUGGUAGACUUGAGUGCAGGAGAGGAGAGUGGAAUUCCAUGUGUAGCGGUGAAAUUGCGUAGA